GACCUACGGGGCGCAGCAGUGAGGGAUAUUGGUCAAUGGGGGAAACCCUGAACCAGCAACGCCGCGUGAGGGAGGACGGUUUUCGGAUUGUAAACCUCUGUCCUCUGUGAAGAUAAUGACGGUAGCAGAGGAGGGAGCUCCGGCUAACUACGUGCCAGCAGCCGCGGUAAUACGUAGGGAGCAAGCGUUGUCCGGAUUUACUGGGUGUAAAGGGUGCGUAGGCGGCUUUGCAAGUCAGAAGUGAAAUCCAUGGGCUUAACCCAUGAACUGCUUUUGAAACUGCAGAGCUUGAGUGGAGUAGAGGG
Molecule: ribosomal RNA, 305 nt
Filed under: uncultured bacterium
Lineage: Bacteria
Description: bacterial SSU rRNA
Rfam family: Bacterial small subunit ribosomal RNA
Source: RNAcentral